GAUGAACGCUGGCGGUAUGCUUAACACAUGCAAGUCGAACGGACUCUUCGGAGUUAGUGGCGGACGGGUGAGUAACGCGUGAGAAUCUGGCUUUGGGUUCGGGACAACCACUGGAAACGGUGGCUAAUACCGGAUGUGCCGAGAGGUAAAAGAGAAAUUGCCUGAAGAUGAGCUCGCGUCUGAUUAGCUAGUUGGUGAGGUAAAGGCUCACCAAGGCAGCGAUCAGUAGCUGGUCUGAGAGGAUGACCAGCCACACUGGGACUGAGACACGGCCCAGACUCCUACGGGAGGCAGCAGUGGGGAAUUUUCCGCAAGGGGCGAAAGCCUGACGGAGCAAUACCGCGUGAGGGAAGAAGGCUCUUGGGUUGAAAACCUCUUUUCUUAGGGAAGAACAAAAUGACGGUACCUAAGGAAUCAGCAUCGGCUAACUCCGUG
This 435-nucleotide ribosomal RNA is filed under the name uncultured bacterium. Its description in RNAcentral is "partial 16S ribosomal RNA". It matches the Rfam family "Bacterial small subunit ribosomal RNA", at positions 28 to 507 of the family's 1533-position model. The record is from RNAcentral.